ACAAGCCUAAACCGUAGCCUACAUCCACCAAUCCACCAACCCUUUCGACCAUCACCUCUCUCAACCAAUACAUGCCUUUAACCCAACAACAAAAGAGGGAUCUUAACAUCACAUAUUUGAAGACAUAUACUAUGGUAUGUAAGGAGGCAAUCAAUGCUAAAUUCGAAGCCUUGGAGGCACGAAUGGAGGAUAAGAUUCGGAUGCUCUUUACCGAACUCAGAUUGGGCCGACCACUAAGCCCGAAGAAAUCACAUCAAGGAGAGAGCUUUGCCCAAUCACACCAAGCCCGAAGAUAUGACUUCCAAGAGAAGGGAAGCUCUAUGACCAACCCCAACUAUCCAUGCACGAGAGUGGACUUCCCUAGAUGGGAAGAAGGAGACCCAAUUGGUUGGAUCUCAC
RNAcentral lists this long non-coding RNA (399 nucleotides) under Musa acuminata (dwarf banana). Its description in RNAcentral is "long non-coding RNA (MACU_LNC009539)". Lineage: Eukaryota; Viridiplantae; Streptophyta; Magnoliopsida; Zingiberales; Musaceae. The record is from RNAcentral.